CUCUGAAUAGCAUAGUGGUAUUGCGCCGGACUGUAAUGUCUACCUCCCGUCCGAUUGGACGAGUAAUCCGUAGGUCCCCUGUUCGAAUCAGGGUUCAGAGA
Molecule: transfer RNA, 101 nt
Filed under: Apiotrichum porosum
Lineage: Eukaryota; Fungi; Basidiomycota; Tremellomycetes; Trichosporonales; Trichosporonaceae
Description: Trichosporon porosum tRNA
Rfam family: tRNA
About the family: Transfer RNA (tRNA) molecules are approximately 80 nucleotides in length. Their secondary structure includes four short double-helical elements and three loops (D, anti-codon, and T loops).
Source: Rfam by way of RNAcentral